This 262-nucleotide long non-coding RNA is filed under the name Junco hyemalis (dark-eyed junco). RNAcentral describes it as "lncRNA (ENSJHYG00000004601.1)". The record is from RNAcentral. Lineage: Eukaryota; Metazoa; Chordata; Aves; Passeriformes; Passerellidae.
UGUGAAUGGCUCGAAUAUCUGGGAACAAGCAACUGGAGAGUAAUUUGGUGACUGGAAAAGUAGCAAUGCAUUGCACAAGCAGAAAUGAAGAGCAGGAGGCGGAGGUGUCCCCAGAAAGGAUCAGCAUAGCAAGUGCAUCAUGAGGCAAGAGAGUGCACAGAUCACCCCUCAUGUCCAUCAAAGACCACUCAAGACCUGCUGACAUCAAGAGACAUUUUGCCAUGGACAUUUUUUAGUCCUUGGAUUUACCUGGCUGUUUAUU